This 463-nucleotide ribosomal RNA is filed under the name uncultured bacterium. RNAcentral's name for it is "partial 16S ribosomal RNA". It matches the Rfam family "Bacterial small subunit ribosomal RNA", at positions 28 to 507 of the family's 1533-position model. The record is from RNAcentral.
GAUGAACGCUGACAGAAUGCUUAACACAUGCAAGUCGAUGGGGAAGUGGUGCUUGCACCAUGGCAACCAUGGCGGACGGGUGAGUAACGCGUAAGGGACUUACCUGCAGGACUGGGAUAACAGGGGGAAACUCCUGACAAGACCGGAUAAUGUCAUGGAGCUGCAUGGCUUUAUGAUGAAAGGAGACGCCUGCGGAGAGCCUUGCGUCCUAUUAGCUAGUUGGUGAGGUAAUGGCUCACCAAGGCGAAGAUAGGUAGCCGGCCUGAGAGGGUGGACGGCCACAAGGGGACUGAGAUACGGCGCUGACUCCUACGGGAGGCAGCAGUGGGGAAUAUUGGACAAUGGGGGCAACCCUGAUCAAGCAAUUCUGUGUGCACGAAGAAGGUUUUCGGAUUGUAAAGUGCUUUCAGCAGGGAAGAGGUAAGUGACGGUACCUGCAGAAGAAGCGACGGCUAAAUACGUG